CUGAAUUUUACACCCCCUUAACACAGAAUUGUCAAUAUUUUGAGUUAGAGCUGGUAGAAGUUUCUAUAAUUUUGAUAUUAUUUGUCUCACUGGUAGUACACUACACUGUAAAAAUCUUUUUAAGAAAGAGCAGGUGCGAUUUUUUUUAAUUUGAAUUUAUUGUCUAAAAGAAAUGCACUACGAAAUAACUGUGUUCUCGGGCCUAAGAGAUGGAUUCCUGAAAUCUAGAUUCUGUACUUUGGCAACUUUCCUGAAUGAUUUGCUGGUUUCAGUU
Molecule: long non-coding RNA, 274 nt
Filed under: Mytilus galloprovincialis (Mediterranean mussel)
Lineage: Eukaryota; Metazoa; Mollusca; Bivalvia; Mytilida; Mytilidae
Source: RNAcentral